RNAcentral lists this long non-coding RNA (1368 nucleotides) under Mus musculus (house mouse). RNAcentral describes it as "predicted gene, 63618". Lineage: Eukaryota; Metazoa; Chordata; Mammalia; Rodentia; Muridae. The record is from RNAcentral.
AUGAAUAAAGAAAAUGUGGUACAUCUACACAAUGGAAUACUAUUCAGAUAUUAUACAUCAAGGCAUCAUGAAUUUUGCAAGCAAAUAAAUGAAACUUGAGGAUAUCAUACUUGUGAGUGUGCCCAGCCUUCUCAUAGAGGGUUUCUUUAUGAAAAUUUCUACCUAUUCUUGUUUUGAGAGUACUGAGAGUCAUGAGUCGGCCACCUUCCUGGGUUUCUAAGAGUGAAGAACAGGAAAAAAUGUUUUGUUUCUACAUAAGUAUACCUGCUUCUUCUGGCUACUAUCAAGAUGGGGAUUUUGUUAUUGGAGGAUUCUUUUCCCUUAGAGUGACUGAUCGAGAAGAUAGAAUUGAAUUUGGCUUUAAUGAUGCAAUGAAUAUGCCAGAUGAAGUUUAUUUGGAUUUCACUAAACAUUAUCAGCACAUUUUGGCAAUGAUUUUUUGCUAUAGAAAAAAAUCAACAAGGACCCAAAUAUUCUUUUCAAUAUGUCCUUGGGAUUCUAUCUCUUCAAUGUUGACUUUAUUGUGAUGAAGGCCACGGAAAGUUCUAUGGUGUUGUUCUCAGGAGAGAGACCACCAAUUCCUAACUACAGCUGCAGGCCUGAGAAGACUAAUAAGCUGGUUGCAGUGAUAGGAGGCUAUUCAAUAGCAAUAACAGCUGAGAUCUCCCAAGUUCUAAGUCUCUACAAUGUCCCACAGCUCCAUCCAUUCUUACAAAACGGCCAGUUUGUAAGAAGCUCCAGUGAGGAGAACAUUGUGAACAAGGAGGGUUCAGCAACCAAACUUGACAUCUUUAAUUACCAGUCUCUCAUGAGUGGUACCAAAGCUCAUGUGAAGGUUGGUGAGUUUGUCUUCAAAUCUCACAGUGUUCAGCAUUUAUCUCUAAAUGAAGAACUUAUAAGUUGGGGUGAGCAGCACAAUCAGACUCCUUCAUCUGUUUGCAGUCAAAGUUGUCCACUUGGACUUCGGAAAACACCUGUUGAAGGGAAACCAUUCUGUUGUUUUGAUUGUGUCCCUUGUCCAGAUGGAGAGAUUUCAAAUGAAACAGGUAUUUGCUUUUAUCUAGGCCACAACUUACUUUAAACAUAAUUGCCAGAUCUCGAGAAGGGCAAACUCAAGUUGGAACUUACAAUAUUGAGAGGAAUCAGCACUCAACCAUGGUCAAAAUCAAGCUCAGAAAAUGGAUGAAUGAGCAAAGUGGGUCAUAGUUUUUAACUCCAGAGACUGCUUGCACACUGUAAUAUUGGACACAGUACCAUCAUAAGAACAAGAUACAUCUACAGUAUUCAGAGUCUACCUUGUGUCUCAAUUAAUGCUUAUCUUUUGUGUAUGUAAACUUAUAUUAUAAAUUCUUUAGAAGCUUUUCAUCA